This 209-nucleotide ribosomal RNA is filed under the name uncultured bacterium. RNAcentral's name for it is "partial 16S ribosomal RNA". It matches the Rfam family "Bacterial small subunit ribosomal RNA", at positions 1293 to 1500 of the family's 1533-position model. The record is from RNAcentral.
UCGGAUUGUAGGCUGCAACUCGCCUACAUGAAGUCGGAAUUGCUAGUAAUCGCGGAUCAGCAUGCCGCGGUGAACACGUUCCCGGGCCUUGUACACACCGCCCGUCACACCAUGGGAGUUUGUAACGCCCAAAGUCGGUGGCCUAACCUUUAUGGAGGGAGCCGCCUAAGGCGGGACAGAUGACUGGGGUGAAGUCGUAACAAGGUAUC